RNAcentral lists this long non-coding RNA (3063 nucleotides) under Nicotiana benthamiana. Its description in RNAcentral is "long non-coding RNA (NBEN_LNC041476)". Lineage: Eukaryota; Viridiplantae; Streptophyta; Magnoliopsida; Solanales; Solanaceae. The record is from RNAcentral.
UCCUCUCCUCUCUUCUCUCUCAAACACCAUCAAAUCCUAGAGCAUCGUCACUAAAACAUUCCCCUAAACCCCUUCACUUCUUGACCAGAUAUGGGGUAAUCUGGUGAUUUAUUGCUUUAUCUAGCCUCCUACUUCCAUUGAUUGUUAGAUUUCUUUGUAUUUUCAAGGUAUCUCAAGGUGAUCCAUCUCAAAGUUGACCUAGACUCUUCACUUUCUCGAUGAACUUGCUCGUGUUCGUCGCUAUGUUUGUGAGUAUUGUUAUCUUUGUGCUUAUGGUUCGAAACUCCGAUUCUGGACUAGAUUUUUCAUCACCUCGUUCCAUUUUUCAAGAACCCUAAUCUCCUUCUACUUAAGUCUGUUCAGAUCCUUGUAGAUCUGAAACGAUUUUGAGUUUAUUUGGUAUUUUAUUUAAAAAUCUUCUAUUUCCCUUAUUAUUAUCGAUUUUCUAUACUGUAAAACUAGAGUUUAACUUCUUCCUGUUUCUGCAAAAAUUUUCUAAGGUUUCUAAGUAUUUCAAUCUGAUUAUCUUUACUAUUUCUUUUAACUCUUUCAUGUUGUUUGUUUGAUUAUUUCACUAUUCGCUUCAAUAUUUGCCCGCUGGUCUUUGAAAUGUCGAUUAGCAGAGGAUGAUUGAUUUUAUCCGCCUAAUUAGGGUUCUAACUUAUAGGUUUUUGCUGAGAUGGCUACUUUAUGUAAUUUUUACAUACAUUUAUUAUUUUGUGACUCCUAAUUGGUACCACUUGCCUUAUUUAGUCUAUUGGCCUGAUUUCUAGGUGUUGAUUUACUCUAAUUGACUUAUAAAAAAGGCCUAUGACUUGUUUCUUGCCUUAUUUUAAACCCUAAUUUUGUUGAUAAUUGAUGUGUCCCUAAUUAGAAGCGUCUUUCUCAGAAUCCUUCCUGUUAAUUGGUCAUGUUAAGCCCUAAUUGAUUGAUUGAUUUAUUGGUCUCUUUGCCUUAUUUGUGAACUCUUGAUUUCCUUUACCUUAUUUGCUUCACUCUGCUCAUGGCUAUAUAAACCCCAUCAUGUUUUUUUUGAAAAGACACACACACAUAUACAGAAAAAUACAAAAACACAUACAAAUCCUUGUUCUUAUUCAUACACACUCUCUAUUACAAAUCUUCCUGUUACUUGCGUUUGUUGCACUGUCCAGCCGGCUGAAAGCCAAGACUAGACCUUUGGAUCAUAUUUUCUUCACUUUCAUGUUUAAAGCCAAGACUAUACCUUUGGAUCAUAUUUUCUUCACUUUCUUGUUGCUAUCUCUUAACUGGUAUGUCUCCACUUCUGCUAUCAUUCAACAUUACAUGCAAUUAGACCUAUUUGCUUCAUGUUUGUUGAUCUUAAUCAGCAUGUCUACUUCUAUGUAAUAUGACCUAUGUGCUUCCUGUUUACUGACUUUAAACAACAUGUCUAUCUCUGUUAUCAUGUCCUACUCAAUGUGAUAUAUAGUCAAUCUACUGUAAGUAUCAAUAUGACUCUGUUUGCCCUUAUGUUUAUGUUAACUAGCAUGCUUAUACUCCUGUGAAUUUGUCCUGACCAAUAAGUUAGUAUGGUAGCUCCACAUUAACAUUUUCCUGUUGAUCCAGGUCGCUUGUCUAUUUGUUUUCUCAACUAGCAUGCUUUAUAUCCUAUUUUAAGUGUUUCACCUUAACUGUAACGACCUAACCCGUUGUCCCGUGUAUUUCUACCCAUUUUUCCCUUUUUAUGCUGUUAUAUGUUUCAAUAUGUGUAUUUGGAGAGUAUUGAGUAAUUCGGAUGGAGUUUGGAUAGAAACGAGACAAUUAGUCUCUCUAAGAGGAAGUUAGUUGGGAAAAGUCAACCGAACGUUGACUUAUGAAUUAGAGAGCUCGUAAUAGAAUUCCGAUGGUUUGACUAAUUUUGGAUGGUGAUUUGUGAUUUAGGAGCGAAAGCAGAACUAAAUUUGGAGGUCCGGUGUAGAAUUAGGCUUGAAUUGGCUAAGUUAGAAAUUUGGCGAAGUCCGGUUGAUAGAUGAUAUUUUGAUCCGAGGGUCGGAAUGAAAUUCCGACAAAUGCAGUAGCUCCGUUAGGUGAUUUUUGAUAUGUCUGCAAAUUUUCAGAUUAUUCGGAGGUGUUUAGGUUGGGUUUUGGAGCAAAUGCAAGUUUCGGAAGUUUUAGUUUAAUGUAGUCUUGAAUACGUGGAAAUUGGAUGAUUUUGAUGUUUAUGAUAGCCUUUUAGGUUGCGAGCAAGUUUGAAUGAAGUAAUGGGACAUAUUUAUGCAAUUGGUUGGGGGCCCGAGGGCCUCGGGGUGAAAUCGGAUGAUGAAAGCGAGGAUUUUUGGAAAUGCAGUAGAUCUGUUGGCCAAGCUUCUGGUAUUUCCGCGAAAGCGACUACCGCAAACGCGGUAAAUCAACCGCAGAAGCGGCCUUGGGCCAGCUGGGCAUCCGCAGAAGCGGCCAAUUCGACGCGUAGGCGGAGACCGUGAAAGCGGCUAAGGACCGCACAAGCGAUCCCAGUCGACACAAGGGAGACCGCAAAAGCGGUCUAUUGACCGCGGAAGCAACCACCACGGAAGCAGUCAUUGUAUCGCGGAAGCGGAAAUCGAAUGGCAUUAAUAAAGCAGUGUUAUCAAAUUUCACAAGUUAAGGAAACACUUUUGGACUUCGGGGAGAGAUGAUUGUAGGCGAUUUUGAAGAGGGUUUCGAGGGUUUCUUUUAGGUAAUGAUUCUUGGCCUUUGAUUAUGUCUUUAUGGUGUAAAAUAGUAGGUUAAACAAUGAAAAUUCAAGGUUUUGAGGCCAAAAUUGGUGGUCAGGGCUUGAAGCCUAAGAGAGAGUAAAAUGGUGAUUUGAGAGGGUAAACGAGCCCUGUUUUUUAUAAAUCUUAUAUGUACAGACUCGUGGGGAGACGAGGAAUCCAAAAAUAUAACUUUCUGAAUAUUUCGAGAAGUGGGCCCGGGGCUCGGGUUUUACCAACUUCGCGAUUUUAAUGUUUUUCGAAUAAUUUCAAUUGGGUUAUGUUUGUGUAGCCUAUAAUAACCUAUUCGUUGUGCUUUUGAAUAGAUUCGAUGCUCGUAUGAGAAGAUUUGAAGGGAAAGGGCAUUGCUGAC